GGCUGCGUGCUUACACAUGCAAGUCGAACGCUGAAGCCUGGUGCUUGCAUUCGGUGGAUGAGGGGAAAACGGGUGAGUAACACGUGAGUAACCUUCCCCUGACUUCGGGAUAAGCCCGGGAAACUGGGUCUAAUACCGGAUACGACCGCCGGACGCAUGUCUGGUGGUGGAAAGUUUUUUCAGGUUGGGGAUGGGCUCGAGGCCUAUCAGUUUGUUGGUGAGGUAAUGGCUCACCAAGACGACGACGGGUAGCCGGCCUGAGAGGGCGACCGGCCACACUGGGACUGAGACACGGCCCAGACUCCUACGGGAGGCAGCAGUGGGGAAUAUUGCACAAUGGGGGAAACCCUGAUGCAGCGACGCAGCGUGCGGGAUGACGGCCUUCGGGUUGUAAACCGCUUUCAGCAGGGAAGAAGCGCAAGUGACGGUACCUGCAGAAGAAGUACCGGCUAACUACGUGCCAGCAGCCGCGGUAAUACGUAGGGUACGAGCGUUGUCCGGAAUUAUUGGGCGUAA
This 516-nucleotide ribosomal RNA is filed under the name marine bacterium SIMO-1579. RNAcentral's name for it is "bacterial SSU rRNA". It matches the Rfam family "Bacterial small subunit ribosomal RNA", at positions 38 to 563 of the family's 1533-position model. The record is from RNAcentral. Lineage: Bacteria; Bacillati; Actinomycetota; Actinomycetes.